UACGAAGGGUGCUAGCGUUGUUCGGAAUCACUGGGCGUAAAGCGCGCGUAGGCGGCUUUGCAAGUCAGGGGUGAAAUCCUGGAGCUUAACUCCAGAAUUGCCUUUGAAACUGCGAAGCUAGAGUGUCGGAGGGGAUAGCGGAAUUGCUAAUGUAGAGGUGAAAUUCGUAGAUAUUAGCAGGAACACCGGUGGCGAAGGCGGCUAUCUGGACGACAACUGACGCUUAGGUGCGAAAGCGUGGGGAUCAAACAGG
RNAcentral lists this ribosomal RNA (253 nucleotides) under uncultured bacterium. RNAcentral describes it as "partial 16S ribosomal RNA". It matches the Rfam family "Bacterial small subunit ribosomal RNA", at positions 524 to 776 of the family's 1533-position model. The record is from RNAcentral.